Molecule: unclassified non-coding RNA, 446 nt
Filed under: Hevea brasiliensis (rubber tree)
Lineage: Eukaryota; Viridiplantae; Streptophyta; Magnoliopsida; Malpighiales; Euphorbiaceae
Source: RNAcentral
UCAAUUCCAAAUAACUAUCCAAAACACAAAUUUCCAUUAACAUAAACUCAAUAUCACCAUCAUCCAAAUCAAUAAUAAAAGAAACAUUACAAAUUGAACAAAAUAAAAUAAAAAGAAAAUGGAAGAACACAGCUAGAACUGCGAAGAACACUACUGUUUUGAUCUAUUGCGCUGAUGUUGUGGCUCUUCAGGCAACAGUGUUGGGCUCUAAAAAAGCAUAUGCAAAGUUGAGACCAGAACAAGAAGAGAAGAGAAGGAGAGGUGGACGUCGGGCAGAGAAGAAAUGAAGGGGAAGAAAAAUUAAUGGCGUAGAGAAAAACAAGAGGAUAAGAGAAAUUAAGGGAGAUGAGUGGCACUGGUUAGAGAAGAAAUAAGAACAGAAUGGUGGGAGAGGUGACUGGCGGCAGACUUGAUAGGGAGGAAGAAAUAAGGUGGAAGAAAAAUUA